RNAcentral lists this non-coding RNA (69 nucleotides) under unclassified sequences. RNAcentral's name for it is "DUF3800-IX RNA". It matches the Rfam family "DUF3800-IX RNA". From Rfam's summary of the family: Actinobacteria, Firmicutes (1 example), Nitrospirae, Proteobacteria, Verrucomicrobia (1 example). Nearby to DUF3800 The record is from Rfam by way of RNAcentral.
UCGCCCCCACCGAUAAGGUAGCCACGAGAGGCUGUCUUUCUCAUAACGAGAAUAGGUGGGGGUGUUUUA